GGCUCUCGGCGGGAACAAUGGCGGGCGUCUCGCGCAGGCCCGCGAGCGGCUUCACAGAUGGCACGACUUUCAGCACCGGGAGCGCAUCGCCAGGCACCACCAGAUGAGGUUAUGUUCACCUGUAAAGGAAGAUGAACAGUCACCUAAAAUGUGUCUCCAGUGUCAAGACUGAUGACGCCACACGCAAACCAAGAGGAUAUGAAAAGAUCCACUAUUUAUACAGUGGAAGUUUCUGAGGAGGGCAGGAAUCUGAAAGAAGAAUAGUAUGUGAUCUUGGACACGUAUCGUAAAUG
Molecule: long non-coding RNA, 293 nt
Organism: Balaenoptera acutorostrata (minke whale)
Lineage: Eukaryota; Metazoa; Chordata; Mammalia; Artiodactyla; Balaenopteridae
Exons: 3
Source: RefSeq, a predicted model, not a curated record